GGAGAGAUAUCGAAGCGGUCAUAACGGGGCUGACUCGAAAUCAGUUUGAGAGCAAUCUCACGUGGGUUCGAAUCCCACUCUCUCCGCCA
RNAcentral lists this transfer RNA (89 nucleotides) under Clostridia bacterium. Its description in RNAcentral is "tRNA-Ser". It matches the Rfam family "tRNA". From Rfam's summary of the family: Transfer RNA (tRNA) molecules are approximately 80 nucleotides in length. Lineage: Bacteria; Bacillati; Bacillota; Clostridia. The record is from RNAcentral.